UUCAAUGAGUGAGGCCUGGAGGCUGGAGAGAGGGAAGAGACUUCCCCAGGGCCUCAGGAUUUGAGGAAAUCACACCUGCGUGUUGGACUCUAAAGCUCCCCAUCUUUCCAGAUACAGCAUAAAUCCUGACCUCUCACUGUCUUUUAUCAGAAAUCCGAAGUUCACAGCCUAAGACUCCAGCUGGGUUGGACCACACACAAGAGGGCAAGACACCAGGACUGCUGGCCGAGGUGCACUUCGAGGGUGGUCCAGAGAUUCCUCUCAACACUCUUCACAGCCCGUCCUGAGGGGUAAAUUGGAGUGCAGAGGUUGUGGGAAGGGUGGGGAGGCAGCAGGCUGUAAGCAGCCUGGAGCGCCAGCCUAGACCAGGACGCCUCCACCUCGGCAACACCGCAGCCAGGUCAUUCUGUGUCAUGGAACCAUCUCGUACCUGCAGGACUUGGGCAGCACCCUUGGCCUCCACUCACUAGAUGCAGUGGCACCCCCGAGUUGUGACAUCCUUUUUGGUCUCCUGACAAUGCAUAAUACCCCUUGGGGGGCAAAAUCACCUCUGGCUGAGAAACACUGGUUUAUGAACCCUAUUGCUAUUAAAAAACCACUGACCUGUA
Molecule: long non-coding RNA, 608 nt
Organism: Pongo pygmaeus (Bornean orangutan)
Lineage: Eukaryota; Metazoa; Chordata; Mammalia; Primates; Hominidae
Exons: 2
Source: RefSeq, a predicted model, not a curated record